UCAAUCAAAAAACUAAACCAAAACACACAAUCGAAAUAAAAGGAAAAGAAAAUCCUCCGGGCGAAGAAGAUAUUUUUCCCGGUUUUCGCGGCUGUGAGUGAAAGUUGGAAAUCUAUAGGCGGUUUUUACUAUCUCGUUUAGGAUGAGGUUAAUUUCGUUUUAGCACACUCUCUCCUCUCUUUUCCUUUCUGCUACUGCUACGACUACGGGCUACUGUUUUCAUUUUGAAUUUUCUGCAGAAAUUAGGGUUUGUUUGUUGCGUUGAUUUUUAAGUUCAGAUUUUGUUUUCUCUGCGAGUAAUAGCGUGCUUGAGAAUGGGUGAGGUGGUGGUGAGUAGCAGCAGUGAAGAGGUGGAGGGGAUGGCGGUGGAGUUAGAGACAGAGAAGAAGGAUAUUGGAUCAUCGGAGGUGGUUCGAUGGGAAAAGUUUCUGCCAAGGAUGGUGCUCAGCGUUCUUUUGGUUGAAGCUGAUGAUUCUACUCGUCAGAUUAUUGCUGCUCUUCUCCGAAAAUGCAGUUACAGAGUUGCUGCUGUUCCUGAUGGAUUAAUGGCAUGGGAGACUUUGAAGGGUGGACCUCAUAACAUAGAUCUCAUAUUAACUGAAGUGGAGCUGCCUUUAAUAUCAGGAUAUGCACUUCUAACUUUGGUCACGGAGCAUGCUGUUUGCAAAAACAUUCCUGUCAUAAUGAUGUCUUCACAAGAUUCAAUUAGCAUGGUUCUGAAGUGCAUGUUAAAAGGAGCAGCUGACUUUCUCAUUAAGCCUGUUAGGAAGAAUGAAUUGAGGAACUUGUGGCAGCAUGUUUGGAGGAGGCAAACUCUAAGUGCUGGACAAAUCCCUCAAAACUCGCAUAAAGUGGAGGCCUCAUCUGAAAACAACGCUGCAAGCAAUGGUUCGAGUGACUCUGUGAUGUCUUCGCAGAAAAAUAAGGAUUGCAGCGAGAAAGGGUGUGAUGCCCAAAGCUCUUGUACGAUCCCUUGCUUGGAAGCUGAGAGUGCUCACAUGCAAAAUAUGCAGGGACUUUCACAGAUGAAGUAUAGGAGCGCUUCAAAUCUGAGCAACACAGAUAGAGAGGAGUUCGAAGAGUGUGCCAAAUCAGAUAAAAGCCCUGUAACUCCUGAGAACAAGAAUGGAGUAUUUGUACCAGAAAGGUCGAACCGAAUGGAGUCAGAUGGAGAACCGUGCAGUGGAGCUUAUAAUCCAACUUCUUUGAGACCGCUAGAAGAGCAUGCUUGUGCCAAGUCAGCGAUUCAAGAUGAAAAUUCGAGACCAGAAAAUGACAGGGUGCUUGCUAAUAGCUCCUUUGGCUGCGAUGAUGUUCCUUUUGAAUCCUCAAGUGGAGCCAUUGACUUGAUUGGUACCUUAAAUAAUGGUCCAAAGACCACAUAUGUACACUCUAGUUUACAUUAUGGCACAAACAAGUUCGAAUUUGCUCCACAACUUGAACUCUCUCUCAAAAGAUUGUAUCCCAGUAGCUCAAAGAACCAGGGGGUAGAUGAAAGACAUGCACUGAACCAUUCCCAUGCCUCAGCCUUCUCAUGGUACAAUAGCAAGACAUUGCAACCUCCUUUUCCAGCAUCUGCCAGUAAUGGUUCUGAUUCCAAGGAAGAAGCCAGCAAGUCUCCUGAGCUGUCAUCCAAUCAACAUGCUCAAAACUUUAAUUCUAUUUCUCAGAGACAUGGUGCCACUUUGAGUGGGAAUCAAGAUAUGACCAUUCCAAUCAUUGGCCAAUCUGGGAAGGCUGAAUUAGCAUAUCCAAGCCCUCGACAUGGAUUGAUUCCUGUUCAAAGGGGAAUGCUCGGCAAUAUAUCUACCGAAUACGGUCAUGAUUUCUCCCCUCUAUAUUAUGCUCAAUCAAGUGCAGCAUGGAGUCCCAAACUUGCUGGGUGGCAACAGUCUCCAUAUCCUCUUAGUACCUCAAUUCAUUCAAAUCCUGAUAUUCAUGAUUCUGAGAAAAAUCACAGGUGUUCUGAUGAAACUACUUACAACUCUGUUGACCAAAAUGAUCAUCAGCAGAACAAUAAGGAACCUGUGGAUGAAGUGAGACAUGAGUCACCUGCUGCUGGUCAGAGUACUGGAGGUUUAUGUAAUGAUGCUGUCAUUCAUAAUAAGAGCAGUGCAUAUGAAAGCUUUGGCAGUAGAGAUGAUGGAAAUGCCAAAGAGAAGGCCAUGGCUCAAGAGAAUUUGAAUGAUGGGGACUACUUCAAUCGUGAUGGUUUUAGAGGGAUAGAUUCCCUUCGCUCCAGCCAAAGAGAAGCUGCUCUAACAAAGUUCCGACUGAAGCGGAAAGAUCGAUGCUAUGAGAAAAAGCUUGGGAAUUUCAAUUUCAAGUAAACUGUAGCACAUAUAUCAUGGACAGAGACAGGAAAUCUUAGCAUUCAGCUGCUAAGAAUGAUAUGUUAUUGCCUGUGGUUCGAUACCAAAGCCGGAAAAGACUGGCAGAGCAACGUCCUCGGGUGAAAGGACAGUUUGUUCGUCAAGUGCAAAAUGAUUCCCCAAUUGCUAAUGGUUGACCAUGAAAUUCAUCAUCACACGCCUGUUUAUUGCUAUCAUGUGCCUUGAACUUUUGGAAAUUAUGGCAUGACCAUGGUGAGAUAAGAAUGUGUUUGCAAGCUUCUUUGCCUUUGGGUCUAAUGACAGUAUGGUUCUAACUAUAAUUUUUGGGUCUAUUGAAAGGGUAGACUUGUAAUUAUGGGGUAAGGCUAUCAGAAUCCUCUUCUACUCUGGUUAUUUUGUUUGCUUGCUCAGUACAUGACUGACUCGUAGUUAGAGAGCUUUAAUAGCGUGAUAAUUUGCGUUGAUAGCAUAAAAAUGGGCUUGUUUAUUAAGUUAGCCAUGUCAGUAUUGUAUCAUAUGAUUGCUGAGCAGCUUCCACACAUUGUCUGUCGAAAAUUUAUGUACUCGUCAACCUUGCUUUCUGUUGCUCUUCUAUAAAAUAUGUUUGAAUUCCUGGUGA
Populus nigra (black poplar) is the source of this 2952-nucleotide RNA transcript. It is a transcript of the gene named two-component response regulator-like APRR9, with no coding region annotated. The transcript has 9 exons. NCBI's taxonomy places the organism in Eukaryota, Viridiplantae, Streptophyta, Magnoliopsida, Malpighiales, Salicaceae. The record is from RefSeq and is a predicted model, not a curated record.